GACGACCUUUGGCGGCGCGCCUAACACAUGCAAGUCGAACGAGCGAGAGAGAGCUUGCUUUCUCGAGCGAGUGGCGAACGGGUGAGUAACGCGUGAGGAACCUGCCUCAAAGAGGGGGACAACAGUUGGAAACGACUGCUAAUACCGCAUAAGCCCACGGCUCGGCAUCGAGCAGAGGGAAAAGGAGCAAUCCGCUUUGAGAUGGCCUCGCGUCCGAUUAGCUAGUUGGUGAGGUAACGGCCCACCAAGGCAACGAUCGGUAGCCGGACUGAGAGGUUGAACGGCCACAUUGGGACUGAGACACGGCCCAGACUCCUACGGGAGGCAGCAGUGGGGAAUAUUGCACAAUGGGGGUAACCCUGAUGCAGCGGCGCCGCGUGGAGGAAGAAGGUCUUCGGAUUGUAAACUCCUGUUGUUGGGGAAGAUAAUGACGGUACCCAACAAGGAAGUGACGGCUAACUACGUGCCAGCAGCCGCGGUAAAACGUAGGUCACAAGCGUUGUCCGGAAUUACUGGGUGUAAAGGGAGCGCAGGCGGGAAGACAAGUUGGAAGUGAAAUCUAUGGGCUCAACCCAUAAGCUGCUUUCAAAACUGUUUUUCUUGAGUAGUGCAGAGGUAGGCGGAAUUCCCGGUGUAGCGGUGGAAUGCGUAGAUAUCGGGAGGAACACCAGUGGCGAAGGCGGCCUACUGGGCACCAACUGACGCUGAGGCUCGAAAGUGUGGGUAGCAAACAGGAUUAGAUACCCUGGUAGUCCACACCGUAAACGAUGAUUACUAGGUGUUGGAGGAUUGACCCCUUCAGUGCCGCAGUUAACACAAUAAGUAAUCCACUUGGGGAGUACGACCGCAAGGUUGAAACUCAAAGGAAUUGACGGGGGCCCGCACAAGCAGUGGAGUAUGUGGUUUAAUUCGACGCAACGCGAAGAACCUUACCAAGUCUUGACAUCCCUUGACAGGCAUAGAAAUAUGUAAUCUUUUCGGAGCAAGGAGACAGGUGGUGCAUGGUUGUCGUCAGCUCGUGUCGUGAGAUGUUGGGUUAAGUCCCGCAACGAGCGCAACCCUUAUGGUCAGUUACUACGCAAGAGGACUCUGGCCAGACUGCCGUUGACGAAACGGAGGAAGGUGGGGAUGACGUCAAAUCAUCAUGCCCUUUAUGACUUGGGCUACACACGUACUACAAUGGCGUUAAACAAAGAGAAGCAAGACCGCGAGGUGGAGCAAAACUCAGAAACAACGUCCCAGUUCGGACUGCAGGCUGCAACUCGCCUGCACGAAGUCGGAAUUGCUAGUAAUCGUGGAUCAGCAUGCCACGGUGAAUACGUUCCCGGGCCUUGCACUCAAGGCCCGUC
This 1349-nucleotide ribosomal RNA is filed under the name uncultured bacterium. RNAcentral's name for it is "bacterial SSU rRNA". It matches the Rfam family "Bacterial small subunit ribosomal RNA", at positions 28 to 1398 of the family's 1533-position model. The record is from RNAcentral.